GUAAUAUAUAUUGCAAUUACCGAAAAAACUCAAUUUUGUAGUGGUUAACCUUCAGAUUUUGAGAAAAAAUUAAAACAAUUUGACAAUAUUUUUAUUGCAUAGUUGCAUCCUUAACAGACAUAUGAUGAUGGUCAAAGAGGUUUGAAAUGUAUGUUGUGUCCGUUUCUCAAGAGAAUAUAUAGUUUAUAGUGUUUAGUCCACUUAUUUAAGUAGUAUAUAAAAUUUAUUAAAUUAAUUUUUUUUAAAACUCUAGUGAUGUCUAUGUAGGAUGAAAGAGAGUUUACAAUACAUUAAUACAAAUGUAGAAUGUGUUUAGAAAUUUUUAAACAGCAUUUAAGAAUGUAAACUUCAAUAUAUAUUGCAAUUACCGAAAAAAUUCAAUUUUGUAGGGGUUAACCUUCAGAUUUUGAGAAAAAAUCAAAAAUUUUGACAAUUUUUUUUAUUGCAUAGUUGCAUCCUUAACAUAUAUAUGAUUAUGGUCAAAGAGGUUUGAAAUGUAUUUAUUGUCCGCUUCUCUAGAGAAUAUAUAUUUUAUAGUGUUUAUUCCACUGAUUUAAGUAGUAUAUAAAAUUUAUUAAAUUUUUUUUUUAAACUCUAGUGCUGUCUAUGUACCAUGAAGUAAAGUUUACAAUAGAUUAAUACAAAUGUAGAAUGUGUUUAAAAAUUUUUAAACAGCAUUUAAAAAUGUAAACGUCAAUAUAUGUUGCAAUUACCGAAAAAACUCAAUUUUGUAGGGGGUUAACCUUCAGGUUUUGAGAAAAAAUCAAAAAAUUUGACAAUCUUUCAUUAUUGCAUAGUUGCAUCCUUAACAGACAUAUGAUGAUGGCCAAAGAAGUUUGAAAUGUAUGUUGUGUCUGUUUCACUAGAGAAUAUAUAUUUUAUAGUGUUUAGUUCACUGAUUUAAAUAGUAUAUAAAAUUUAAUAAAUUAAAUUUUUAAAAACUAUAGUGAUGUCUAUGUACCAUGAAAGAGAGUUUACAAUACAUUAAUACAAAUGUAUAAUGUGUUUAGAAAUUUUUAAACAGCUCUAAAGAAUGUAAACUUCAAUAUGUAUUGCAAUUACGAAAAAACUUGAUUUUGUAGACCUUCAGAUUUUGAGAAAAAUUCAAAAAAAUUGAGAAUAAUUUUUUAUUGCAUAGUUGCAUCCCUAACAGACAUAUGAUGAUGGUCAAAGAGGUUUGAAAUGUAUGUUGUAUCCAUUUCACUAGAGAAUAUAUAUUUUAUAGUGUUUAGUUCACUGAUUUAAGUAGUAUAUAAAAUUUAUUAAAUUAAAUUUUUAAUAACUAUAGUGAUGUCUAUGUACCAUGAAAGAGAGUUUACAAUAUAUUAAUACAGAUGUAGAAUGUGGUUAGAAAUGUUUAACAGCUAUAAAGAAUGUAAACUUUAAUAUAUAUUGCAAUUACCGAAAAAACUCAAUUUUGUAGGGGUGUUAACCUUCAAAUUUUAAGAAAAAAUCAAAAAUUUUGACAAUCUUUUUUUAUUUCAUUGUUGCAUCCUUAACAGACAUAUGAUGAUGGUCAAAGUGGUUUGAAAUGUAUGUUGUGUCCGUUUCACUAGAGAAUAUAUAUUUUAAAGUCUUUAGUCAACUGAUUUAAGUAGUAUGUAAAAUUUAUUAAAUUUUUGAAAACUAUAGUGAUGUCUAUGUACCAUGAAAGAGAGUUUACAAUACAUUAAUACAAAAGUAGAAUAUGUUUAGAAAUUUUUAAACAGCUCUAAAGAAUGUAAACUUCAAUAUGUAUUGCAAUUACCGAAAAACUCAAUUUUGUAGGGGUUAACCUUCAGAUUUGGAGAAAAAAUCAAAAAAUUUGAGAAUCUUUUUUUAUUGCACAGUUGCAUCCUUAACAGACAUAUGAUGAUGUUCAAAUAGGUUUGAAAUGUAUUUAUUGUCUGUUUCUCAAGAGAAUAUAUAUUUUAUAAUGUUUAGUCCACCGAUUUAAAUAGUAUAUAAAAUUUAUUAUAUUUAAUUUUUUUAAACUCUAGUGAUGUCUAUGUACCAUGAAAUAGAGUUUAAAAUACAUUAACACAAAUGUAGAAUGUGUUUAGAAAUUUUUAAACAGCAUUUAAGAAUGUAAACUUCAAUAUAUAUUGCAAUUAUCGAAAAAAUACAAUUUUGUAGGGGGUUAACCUUCAGAUUUGGAGAAAAAAUCAAAAAAUUUGACAAUCCUUUUUUAUUACAUAGUUGCAUCCUUAAGAGACAUAUGAUGAUGGUCAAAGAGGUUUAAAAUGUAUUUAUUGUCCGUUUCUCUAGAGAAUAUUUAUUUUGGAGUGUUUAGUCCACUGAUUUAAGUAGUAUAUAAAAUUUAUUAAUUUAAAUUUUUAAAAACUAUAGUGAUGUCUAUGUACCAUGAAAGAGAUUUUAAAAUACAUUAAUACAAAUGUACAAUGUGUUUAUAAAUUUUUAAACAGCAUUUAAGAAUGUAAACGUCAAUAUAUAUUGCAAUUACCGAAAAAAACUCAAUUUUGUAGGGGUUAACCUUUAGGUUUUGAGAAAAAUAUCAAAAAAUUUGACAAUCUUUUUUUAUUGCAUAAUUGCAUCCUUAAUAGACAUAUGAUGAUGGCCAAAGAGGUUUGAAAUGUUUGUUGUGUCCGUUUCACUAGAGAAUAUAUAUUUUAUAGUGUUUAGUUCACUAAUUUAAGUAGUAUAUAAAAUUUAUUAAAUUUAAUUUUUAAAAACUAUAGUGAUGUCUAUGUACCAUGAAAGAGAGUUUACAAUACAGUAAUACAAACGUAGAAUGUGUUUAGAAAUUUUCAAACAGCUCUAAAGAAUGUAAACUUCAAUAUGUAUUUCAAUUACCAAAAAAACUCGAUUUUGUAGGGGUUAACCUUUAGAUUUUGAGAAAAAUUCAAAAAAAUUGAGAAUAUUUUUUUAUUGCAUAGUUGCAUCCUUAACAGACAUAUGAUGAUGGUCAAAGUGGUUUGAAAUGUUUGUUGUGUCCGUUUCACUAGAGAAUAUAUAUUUUAUAGUGUUUAGUCCACUGAUUUAAGUAGUAUAUAAAAUUUACUAAAUUAAAUUUUUAAAAACUAUAGUGAUAUCUAUGUACCAUGAAAGGGAGUUUAAAAUACAUUAAUACAAAUGUAGAAUGUGGUUAGAAAUGUUUAACAGCUCUAAAGAAUGUAAACUUCAGUAUAUAUUGCAAUUACCGAAACAAACUCAAUUUUGUAGGGGGUUAACCUUCAGAUUUUGAGAAAAAAUCAAAAAUUUUGACAAUCUUUUUUUAUUUCAUAGUUGCAUCCUUAACAGACAUAUGAUGAUGGUCAAAGAGGUUUGAAAUGUAUGUUGUGUCCGUUUCACUAGAGAAUAUAUAUUUUAUAGUGUUUAGUCCACUGAUUUAAAUAGUAUAUAAAAUUUAUUAAAUUAAAUUUUUAAAAACUAUAGUGAUGUCUAUGUACCAUGAAAGAGAGUUUACAAUACAUUAAUACAAAUGUAGAAUGUGUUUAGAAAUUCUUAAACAGCUCUAAAGAAUGUAAACUUCAAUAUGUAUUGCAAUUACCGAAAAAACUCAAUUUUGUAGGGGUUAACCUUCAGAUUUUAAGAAGAAAUCAAAAAAUUUGACAAUCUUUUUUUUAUUGCAUAGUUGCAUCCUUAACAGACAUAUGAUGAUGGUCAAAGAGGUUUGAAAUGUAUGUUGUGUCCGUUUCUCUAGAGAAUAUAUAUUUUAUAGUGUUUAGUCUACUGAUUUAAGUAGUAUAUAAAAUUUAUUAAAUUAAAUUUUUUAAAACUAUAGUGAUGUCUAUGUACCAUGAAAGAGAGUUUACAAUACAUUAAUACAAAUUUAGAAUGUAGUUAGAAAUUUUAAACAGCACUAAAGAAUGUAAAGUUCAAUAUAUAUUGCAAUCACCGAAAAAACUUAAUUUUGUAGGGGUUAACCUUCAGAUUUUGAGAAAAAAUUAAAAAAUUAAAAAAUUUGACAAUUUUUUUUAUUGCAUAGUUGCAUCCUUAACAGAUAUAUGAUGAUGGUCAAAGAGGUCUGAAAUGUAUGUUGUGUCAGUUUCUUUAGAGAAUAUAUAAUUUAUAGUAUUUAGUUCACUGAUUUAAGUAGUAUAUAAAAUUUAUUAAAUUAAAUUUUAAAAGCUAUAGUGAUGUAUAUGUACCAUGAAAGAGAGUUUACAAUACAUUAAUACAAAUGUAGAAUAUGGUUAGAAAUUUUUAACAGCACUAACGAAUGUAAAAUUCAAUAUAUAUUGCAAUUACCGAAAAAACUUAAUUUUGUAGGGGUUAACCUUCGAAUUUUGAGAAAAAAUCAAAAAAUUUGACAAUCUUUUUUUAUUGCAUAGUUGCAUCUUUAACAGACACAUGAUGAUGGUCAAAGAGGUUUGAAAUGUAUGUUGUGUUCUUUUCUCUAGAGAAUAUAUAUUUUAUAGUGUUUAUUCCACUGAUUUAAGUAGUAUAUAAAAUUUAUUAAAUUAAAUUUUUAAAAACUACAGUGAUGUCUAUGUACCAUGAAAGAGAGUUUACAAUACAUUAAUACAAAUGUAGAAUGUGGUUAGAAAUUUUUAAACAACAUUAAAGAGUGUAAACUUCAAUAUGUAUUGCAAUUACCGAAAAAACUCAAUUUUGUAGGGGGUUAUUAACCUUCACAUUUUGAGAAAAAUCAAAAAAAAUUUGACAAUCUUUUUUUAUUCAUAGUUGCAUCCUUAACAGACAUAUGAUGAUGGUCAAAGAGGUUUGAAAUGUAUGUUGUGUCCGUUUAACUAGAGAAUAUAUAUUUUAUAGUGUUUAGUCCACUGAUUUAAGUAGUAUAUAAAAUUUAUGAAAUAAAUUUUUAAAAACUAUAGUGCUGUCUAUGUACCAUGAUAGAGAGUUUACAAUACAUUAAUACAAAUUUAGAAUGUGGUUAGAAAUUUUUAAACAGCACUAAAGAAUGUAAACUUCAAUAUAUAUUGCAAUUCCCGAAAAAACUCAAUUUUGUAGAGGUUAACCUUCAGAUUUCGAGAAAAAAUCAAAAAAUUUGACAAUCUUUUUUUAUUGCGUAGUUCCAUUCUUAACAGACAUAUGAUGAUGGUCAAAGAGGUUUGAAAUGUAUGUUGUGUCCGUUUCUCUAGAGAAUAUAUAUUUUAUAGUGUUUAGUUUACAGAUUUUAGUAGUAUAUAAAAUUUAUUAAAUUAAAUUUUUUAAAAAUAUUGUGAAGUCUAUGUACCAUGAAAGAUAGUUUAGCAUACAUUAAUAUAAAUAUAUAAUGUGGUUAGAAAUUUUUAAACAACACUAAAGAGUGUAAAUUUCAUUAUAUAGAGCAUUUAGAAUUGAACGAUGUCGAGGUACCAUAUAAGAGAGUUUAGAAUAAAUUAAUUCAAAUAUAAAAUAUGGUUUGAAAUUUAAAAAAAACAUUAAAGAUUAUAGGCUUCAGUAUAUUAACCAUUUACCGAAAAACUGAAUAUUUUGUAGGGGUUAACACAUAGAUUUUGAAGAAAAUUAAUAAAAUAUUACAAUAUGGUUUUAAUGCAUAGUUGUAUCAUGAACUAACAUAUGAUGAUGGCCGGAGAAGUUUGGAGCCUUUGUUAUCUCUGUUUCUCUAGAAUAGGGAUUUUAUUGUGGUUUGUCCAAUAAUUUGGGGAGCAUAUGAAGUCUUAUAAAUUAAUCGAUAAAAAAAA
Long non-coding RNA from Brassica rapa (field mustard), 5588 nucleotides. RefSeq lists it as uncharacterized. Lineage: Eukaryota; Viridiplantae; Streptophyta; Magnoliopsida; Brassicales; Brassicaceae. The record is from RefSeq and is a predicted model, not a curated record.